GGUGAGAGUCAUCGAAAAGGGUAGUCAGGAUACUGUUUAGCUUCUACCUAAAGCAGCUUAAAGGACAUGAAAUUUUAGUCACUAAAAGAUUUACCAAUAAAAUAUAUCCUUAUUGUAUUCCAAGUCAGUGUUGUUUAGAUACUCCGUAGUCCAUAGCAUAGAUAAUAUGUCCGUGAGCAUGACCUGUAUAUGAUUAAACAUCACUUCUUAUAUAAAUUAAAGCUUAAAUAGGCAUAAAGCCACGAUCUACCAAAAAAGGUAUAAAGUGGUAUUCUCCAUUCUAUUCCAAAACAUUAAACAACACAAAACAAAAAUAAACCGAUGAAAUAAGACCUGAAAUGAUAAAUUGAAAUUACAAAAGAGUUAUUUCUUCUUUGAAAUAUUCUAAUAACCAGUUAGAACAAAUCCUUCACCGCGUUCAAAUCAAAAUAAAAGCUGAAAUGAUAGAUAUAAGGAACAAACAUUUUACUCAUAGUACACUUCAUUUCUAAAGCAAAAUCAAGGGCAAGUUUCUAACCGUCCUACUUAUUCCACAUGUUAAUUAACAGCAGAUUCACCUCAAAUUUUUGGCUUCAUUGUAAAUUUUUUUUUUUUUGGUAUUUAUGUCUCACGCUCAAUUACCGUGUUGUUGCUUCUACUUUUCAGCUUGCUCUUUUUUACGUCCAGCCACCAGGUAGGUUCUUC
Molecule: long non-coding RNA, 684 nt
Filed under: Capsicum annuum
Lineage: Eukaryota; Viridiplantae; Streptophyta; Magnoliopsida; Solanales; Solanaceae
Description: long non-coding RNA (CANN_LNC018109)
Source: RNAcentral